This 207-nucleotide ribosomal RNA is filed under the name uncultured bacterium. RNAcentral describes it as "partial 16S ribosomal RNA". It matches the Rfam family "Bacterial small subunit ribosomal RNA", at positions 568 to 774 of the family's 1533-position model. The record is from RNAcentral.
UGUGUAGGCGGAUGCCUAAGUACCUUGUGAAAUCCCACGGCUCAACCGUGGAACUGCUUGGUAUACUGGGUGUCUUGAGCCACUUAGGGGUUACCGGAACAAACGGUGGAGCGGUGAAAUGCGUAGAUAUCGUUUGGAACGCCAAUGGUGAAAACAGGUAACUGGGAGUGCGCUGACGCUGAGACACGAAAGCCAGGGGAGCGAACG